UACGUAGGGUGCGAGCGUUGUCCGGAAUUAUUGGGCGUAAAGGGCUCGUAGGCGGUUUGUCGCGUCGGGAGUGAAAUCAUCUGGCUUAACUGGGUGCUUGCUUUCGAUACGGGCAGACUAGAGGUAUGCAGGGGAGAACGGAAUUCCUGGUGUAGCGGUGAAAUGCGCAGAUAUCAGGAGGAACACCGGUGGCGAAGGCGGUUCUCUGGGCCUGUACUGACGCUGAGGAGCGAAAGCGUGGGGAGCGAACAGG
Molecule: ribosomal RNA, 253 nt
Filed under: uncultured bacterium
Lineage: Bacteria
Description: partial 16S ribosomal RNA
Rfam family: Bacterial small subunit ribosomal RNA
Source: RNAcentral